This 320-nucleotide ribosomal RNA is filed under the name uncultured Cercomonas. RNAcentral describes it as "SSU rRNA". The stretch from base 103 to 320 matches the Rfam family "Eukaryotic small subunit ribosomal RNA", at positions 736 to 955 of the family's 1831-position model. Lineage: Eukaryota; Cercozoa; Cercomonadida; Cercomonadidae. The record is from RNAcentral.
GAUUUCUGGUUGGGCGCAUUUGGCCCGCUUCGGUUACGAGGUUGAGUGCCGUUUUGCGCCCGCCAUCCUUCUAGAGUACGACUCUCCCUUUACUGGGUUGGGCCGGAAUCUAGAUCAUUUACUUUGAAAAAAUUAGAGUGUUUAAAGCAGGCUUUUGCUAUGAAUACAUUAGCAUGGAAUAAUAAUCUAGGACUUCGGUUCUAUUUUGUUGGUUUCUAUAACUGAAGUAAUGAUUGAUAGGGAUAGUUGGGGGUGCUAGUAUUGGCCGGCCAGAGGUGAAAUUCUUGGAUUCGGUCAAGACUAACUUAUGCGAAAGCAUU